GAUGAACGCUGGCGGCGUGCCUAAUGCAUGCCAGUCGAGCGAACAGACGAGGAGCUUGCUCCUCUGACGUUAGCGGCGGACGGGUGAGUAACACGUGGAUAACCUACCUAUAAGACUGGGAUAACUUCGGGAAACCGGAGCUAAUACCGGAUAAUAUAUUGAACCGCAUGGUUCAAUAGUGAAAGACGGUUUUGCUGUCACUUAUAGAUGGAUCCGCGCCGCAUUAGCUAGUUGGUAAGGUAACGGCUUACCAAGGCGACGAUGCGUAGCCGACCUGAGAGGGUGAUCGGCCACACUGGAACUGAGACACGGUCCAGACUCCUACGGGAGGCAGCAGUAGGGAAUCUUCCGCAAUGGGCGAAAGCCUGACGGAGCAACGCCGCGUGAGUGAUGAAGGUCUUCGGAUCGUAAAACUCUGUUAUUAGGGAAGAACAAAUGUGUAAGUAACUAUGCACGUCUUGACGGUACCUAAGCAGAAAGCCACGGCUAACUACGU
RNAcentral lists this ribosomal RNA (496 nucleotides) under uncultured bacterium. RNAcentral's name for it is "partial 16S ribosomal RNA". It matches the Rfam family "Bacterial small subunit ribosomal RNA", at positions 28 to 506 of the family's 1533-position model. The record is from RNAcentral.